AGCUCUACGAUUAUGGUCUGUUCCAGUCAACCUUCUGAGGGCCACAUGGUAGUGGUGGGCAGGACCAGAGGCAAAAGUAGUCACAGCAAAAGUGUUGUUUUUGCCUUUGUGGUGUAGGCUAGUUUCCACAUACUCUUCCACACCCCUCUCUCUCCUGCAUCCAGAGAAGCCAGCAGCAUUAUCAGAGUACAAGGAUGCACUAGCCAAACAAACACAUAUGGGGUCUGAAGAAGGGCUGGUGAGGAGUGGUGUGGUGACCUGGGGAAAGCUCAAAGGUCCAGACAGAGAGACCUGGCGGGCCGCAUUUGGCUCCCAGACUUGAGUCCAGCUACCUUACUUGAACAGUUUGUUGCUGGCUAUAUCUUUGAGUUCAAGUAAUCAUUUCGUGCCGUCAACCAGACCUGAACCCAGUUUGGAAAGAUCACUAGGACCACAGCAAGAAUGUGGAUUGAAGGAGGCUUGUGGGAGAUAAACAGAGCUCAGAUCUGAUGGGUCUUUCCCAGUCAUCGGGAACAACUAAGGCAGCCAUUAUCCUACAAGAGAAAGCU
Molecule: non-coding RNA, 548 nt
Organism: Podarcis muralis (Common wall lizard)
Lineage: Eukaryota; Metazoa; Chordata; Lepidosauria; Squamata; Lacertidae
Source: RefSeq, a predicted model, not a curated record